GGCAAAGAGGGGGUACUGAAUGGUCUCAUAAAAAGCCUGCUCUUCAGCACCAGCCAGGCGGAACGGGAUACGGUGGUGUCAGAUAAACCUAUGACAGCAGCUUCACCAACACACAACACACACAGAACAGAUACCCAAUACACAACACACACACUACUUUUAUAACAAGGGGAGCACAGACACAAAACACACAGAUUUCCCAAACCGUGUGUCCCAGUCAAGCACUGUGGGCUGCAGUGAGAUGAGGACACAGGAGCACCUUGGGUUAGUCUGCAUCUUGGUGGCUGGUGGCGCUGGUGGAGUUUUAACUGGAGAGGUAUUUCUGGUUGUCACGGUACUGUUAGCAUAAUGCUUUGGGAACAGAAGCUUCUCCCUGUGGCCGUAUGAAGUUCCAGCCACAAAAGCAGCAGGGAGCAUGAAGCAUAGUCUCCAGGGCCACUGUUCCUUUUCUGCUGACCCCAGAGGGAGGCAGGGAAACCGCUCGCCCCAUUGCUCUUCUGGAAGCCUGUGGCUCCCACGCUGUCCUCGGGCCAUGCUGUCUCUGCCGUGUUCCAUCUUCUCCCGAGUGACACUGCCCAUUCCGUGCAGCCGUCUGUCCUUCCCCCGCUGCUGCUCCCCUGCACCACUGGCUGGGCUGUCCUCAUCCUGGUCUUUUCAGUUGCUUGUCACAUCUUUUUAAAUCCUCCAACUCACUUCCUUUCUUUGAGGGUCCUUGUUCUCUGUCAUCCUUCCUGUGCCUUCCAUUCAGUUCACCUCGGCUUCCAGUGUCUGAGUGUCAUUCCAGCCAGCGGGCUCCAUGCUGGGCAACUCAGUUUUCUCAUGCCACAGCUUUUUACAUUUCUGUGCAUCAGCAAAUUCCAAAUUUGGGUGUCCUGGUUUGGUAACAUGUAAGGACAAGGAGCUCAACAUUCUUUAAAAACAAGGUAGCUUGAGAAUAAGGAUUCUAGGUGAUUUGCACAUGGUUGAGAGUGUCUUGCAUCACCUGUUCUCAGAACAUUAGGAUGCCUGAAACACAAAACCACCAGUACAUUCUGAUUCUACCUUUUUAAAAUGCUGCUGCAAUUGAACAGUCAUUAAAGAAAACCAGACCCAAAUUAAAAUUUCUGCCUGCAGCAUUUUUGCCAUGUUGUGGGAGUUUGUUUAAUCUACUCCCAGUCAAUUUCAAAUAAACAGUAGCAGAGUUCGUUUAAGAUGACUGCCAUUGCUAACACAGCUGAAUGAAAUCAGAGGUCUCUUUGUAGGCUCCCAGUAGAUCCAGGCCCUGUAGGACCAGUUCACUUGUCCACUGUAGCUAAAUAGAUCAUACAAAAGGGCCCAAAUGAACAGAUCUACCAGAUAGGAAUAUGAUGAAGUGGCCUGUGGAGACCGCUGCCACAGUCACUCUGUCAUGCCUUCUGUAUACCCCAGCCCAAUUCUAAAGGAGCUUUGCAAGCUGACUCAUCUCACAGUAUUGCUGUGUUUAAUCAUAAUUGGUCUCUUCCCAUUCAUGUCACUGAUCAUUUGUGUUGAAUUCUUUAUUAUUUUAAGUUAUUCUGCAUGAGCAUAGAAAGUAGUUAAUAUUCACGAGUUGCCUGUGGUGUAUACUUCAUCUCACUUGAGUCUGUUGAGAAGUGUGUUUGGGGGAAUCAUCCACUGGUGACACUGCCGGUCUGAGUAACCCUGUCUCCCUUUCUCGGCUCUGAAGGAACUACCUUGUUCUGCACUAGCUCCAUCCCUAGAGCCCUGCUUCUCCAGGCCCGAGAGACCAGCAAACCGUCGCCCUCCGUCCCGUUGGGCCCCACAUUCCCCCACUGCCUCACAGCCUCAGUCACCCGGAGACCCGACGUCCUUGGAGGAGCAUGGUGGCGAGGAGCCGCCCGAGGAGCAGCCACACCGAGAUGCAAGCUUGCAUGGAUUAUCACAGUAUAAUUCACUGUAAUUUGCAUAACCACACCAUCACCAUGAACAAAACUCUGCCCAAAAGGAGAGAUCUAGUUUUCUCAAGGUCAAAGAAUGUUUUUUAAAAACACACAGCUGCUGAAUGUUCAACCUGUGAAACUGAGAUGUUUCUAGAAUGAAACAGUAAAUGUGCCUGUAAUAAUUUUUUUCAUAGCUCAGAAAACUAUUUUUGUCUCCAUCUUUUUUACACACAGUAUAUUAAACGAAAAGGUAAAUAAGGUAUAAAUAGAUUUAAAAAAUAAAAGUUUUAAAAGGUGUACAUUUUAAGAGAUUCUGAACACCCUCGUUGUCAAUACCUGACUGCCUCUCUGUUAAAUUUGCACUGUUACAUUUUGAUUCAGUUUAUUUCCAUGUUGAAUUAGAGUGGAUUAAGUUAAUUUUAUUUUGUCAGUGUUACUGUUUUUUACGAAUUUUUUAAUGCUUCAGACUGUCUGAUUCAGUGAACUUUUUGUAGUGAAAAAGCCAUGAAGCCAGUAGACAAGACAGAUAUUCUCUAUGCUGGAGGGGAUACAGGAUGAUUUUGAAAAGGUACAAAGUCCUCAGUGGGCUUAGAAAAUUCACUGUAUGAUCCUUAUAUUAUCCUACUUGGCUUGCACGUCUUCGGGUGCAUGUAUAUACCGCUACUGUGUCCUCGCCAUCACCUAAAUGUGACUCAGUCUGUUCCACUGUAAUAUGUUGUGAAUUUCCUUGUACUGUACUUUUAUUGUUGGUCUUCUUGCAUCGAUGAUCCAACAGCAACAACAUUUUUAAAUUAUUGUGAAAAGAUUAACUGGCAAUGUACAGAGUUUACUCAAAGUUUUCUUAAGGGAAAACACUACAAAAAGUCACGAGGAUACCAAAUGGAAACACGUGAUGGUGCCUCUGAGUCUGUAUGAGACCGUGAUGAAGUAGAAAUAAAGCCCUUCUGAGAUGGCA
This 2853-nucleotide small RNA is filed under the name Pan troglodytes (chimpanzee). RNAcentral's name for it is "processed transcript". The record is from RNAcentral. Lineage: Eukaryota; Metazoa; Chordata; Mammalia; Primates; Hominidae.